GAAGUCGCGACGAUGUUUGGGUGUCAGACCCAAACGCGUAAUGAAAGUGGACGGAGGUAAGAGCCCCUUGGGGUGCAUUUUCGACUGAUCGUGAUGUCUUCUGAUGGAUUUGAGUAAGAGCAUAGCGGCUAGGACCCGAAAUAUGACGAACUAUACAUGAAUAGGGUGAAGCUGGAGGAAACUCUGGUGCAGGCUCGCAGCAGUUCUGACGUGCAGAAUUUGGAGUGUAGAGUAAUAUCAAAUGUCUCGAAAUUUG
Molecule: non-coding RNA, 256 nt
Filed under: Phialocephala subalpina
Lineage: Eukaryota; Fungi; Ascomycota; Leotiomycetes; Helotiales; Mollisiaceae
Description: Eukaryotic large subunit ribosomal RNA
Rfam family: Eukaryotic large subunit ribosomal RNA
Source: Rfam by way of RNAcentral